AUUGAACGCUGGCGGCAGGCCUAACACAUGCAAGUCGAGCGGAUGAAGGGAGCUUGCUCCUGGAUUCAGCGGCGGACGGGUGAGUAAUGCCUAGGAAUCUGCCUGGUAGUGGGGGAUAACGUCCGGACACGGGCGCUAAUACCGCAUACGUCCUGAGGGAGAAAGUGGGGGAUCUUCGGACCUCACGCUCUCAGAUGAGCCUAGGUCGGAUUAGCUAGUUGGUGGGGUAAAGGCCUACCAAGGCGACGAUCCGUAACUGGUCUGAGAGGAUGAUCAGUCACACUGGAACUGAGACACGGUCCAGACUCCUACGGGAGGCAGCAGUGGGGAAUAUUGGACAAUGGGCGAAAGCCUGAUCCAGCCAUGCCGCGUGUGUGAAGAAGGUCUUCGGAUUGUAAAGCACUUUAAGUUGGGAGGAAGGGCAGUAAGUUAAUACCUUGCUGUUUUGACGUUACCAACAGAAUAAGCACCGGCUAACUUCGUG
RNAcentral lists this ribosomal RNA (484 nucleotides) under uncultured bacterium. Its description in RNAcentral is "partial 16S ribosomal RNA". It matches the Rfam family "Bacterial small subunit ribosomal RNA", at positions 30 to 507 of the family's 1533-position model. The record is from RNAcentral.